This 1342-nucleotide long non-coding RNA is filed under the name Toxoplasma gondii VEG. The record is from RNAcentral. Lineage: Eukaryota; Apicomplexa; Conoidasida; Eucoccidiorida; Sarcocystidae.
GCUAGAUACCGUCGUUUGGACUUGCGACGAUGGAAGUCGGUGGCCCACUCAUGGGAAAAAGUUAAGUGAUGGCAAAGAAGAAAUUUAUUUUAUGUUCUGUGAUGCUUUUGAACGAUAUAGCGCCACUAUGCGGUAGACAAAGCACUGUCAGCCGUUGAUCGCUGCAGCCCCGGCACAUAGUGCAAAUCACUAAUGCUUGAACCACACGCGUCGAACCUCUAGUAGUGACUGGCGUAAUCCACUGCAGAAUGCUUUAUCAUUUACCUUGACGUGUAUACCAUCCCGUUUUGCGGGUCCUGCAUUUUGUUGUAAAAAAUAACUUCCUCAUGACUCGGUGAACCGGAGGCACGAACGCUCGUUUUCCUGUACUCUCAUUUCGAGGUGGCGCAGAAUGAGGCAUCUCGGUCUUGUACGGUGAUCCUUCUUCGUAUGCUUUCGGGUUUCGUUAUUUACUUCCACUUGGGGGAAAUGAUGAGUUCAUAGUAUCUCAGUGACAACAGGUGGUGCCGCCGCAAUACAAGGGCGAACGUAGCACUAGUACAUCUUUUGUUUUGUGGCAAGAAUUGGGUCCCCGCCGAGUAACAAUACCUUGACAGCGUGGACUCGAAAAAGGGACGUAUCCGCAAUAGUUUCAUCACUUAGUUGUUCAGACCUUACUACAGCGCUUCGACGAAGAACUGGCGAAAUUAGGAUUUCCCCGUAGAGGCUCGUUGCCGCGUGUGCUGCGAUCAUCGCAUAUCGUGCUUUAACCAUAGAAUGGCGCACAACAUUAUCAAAUGCCCCGAGUCGAAUCGCUACCCACACCAGAAGCUGCGUGGUACAAUUGGGGAAUUCGUGGAUUUCAUAGCUGUUACAUCAUCGAAUGAAGCUUUGCCUACUGCUUCAUCGCUGGGUUAAGGCGCGUACGUGAGCAACUGGGAACAAAAGUGAGGAUGCAAGCUGUAUAUUGGGGGAAAAUGUGCGGAAGGCUGAAAGGGUAAAAACCGUGCAGUAUCCGUGGGGAUGGACACGCUGCGGACGGUUUAUAUGUUACAAAGUCGCAACGACUGGUUUUGUUGAUGAAUGCCUGUCCGAAUGCGAUGGCAAUAUUAGAAAUCGAAAGAAGAAAAACUUCACAGGGUGCAUAUUGAUGGGGAUUCGGAUGGAUAGACCAGCCUCGUAUUCUUUCCACCAUGCACUUCGUCUUCUAGUUGCGGAAAAAGAACAUUCGGGCCCUGAACUAUAUCCUUCCAUUUUCGUUACUAGUAUGAAAAUGCGACAAACAGCGUUUCUGCUAGUUAACACAGAGCAAAGCCACAUCUUCAACAUACUCAUCAGGUGUCCCGAGCAGAAAACCAAUGGC